This is a long non-coding RNA of Asparagus officinalis (garden asparagus), 703 nucleotides long. RefSeq lists it as uncharacterized. The transcript has 2 exons. NCBI's taxonomy places the organism in Eukaryota, Viridiplantae, Streptophyta, Magnoliopsida, Asparagales, Asparagaceae. The record is from RefSeq and is a predicted model, not a curated record.
CACCUCCGCAGGCACAUCACACCGUGACCUAGAAAAUUCUUCUUCCCUGCCUCUCCGUUGAAGUCGAGAAGGACUAGCCAGAGAGCGAGAGCCUCAACCAGCUCAAACCCAAAAGCAGCGGGGCCGGGUGAGGAGAUCGACGAAGAGAGAAAGGGAGAGUUUUUUUUAUAAAAAUAAUAAAUAAAUAAAUAAAAAUGGGGAAGAUUCCGGUGAAGGUGAAGGCGGUUGUGUACGGACUCUCGCCCUUCCAGCAGAAGAUCAUGACCGGGCUCUGGAAGGACGUCCCGGGCAAGAUCCAUCACAAGGUCUCCGAGAACUGGACCAGCGUCGUCCUCCUCCUCGCCCCUCUCGUCGGAACCUACACUUAUGUUCAGAAUUUCAAGGAGAAGGAAAAACUGGCCCACAGGUACUAAGUUGUUUGAGAUGAUCAUCUUUCUGGAAAAUGUAAGAGGAUGUGCAGUUAUGCUGUGAUCUGCUUGUGAUUUUGGACUUUGUGCUGUUUUCCAAGUUGUGUUCGGUCAUGUCGUCGAGUAGUGUUGCUAACACUUCGAAACCUUGUACGUGCUCUUUAUAUUAUGCCGACUGCACUUCUGUAGAACAUAUUGUCACUGUAUUUUUGUGCGCGACUUUCACCAUUUCUUAUCUUGUUUUCAUUUGGGUUGUCUGAUCGAAGGUCCUCAAUGUUCCGGUGCAUUCUUGCUAA